Molecule: non-coding RNA, 563 nt
Filed under: Pan troglodytes (chimpanzee)
Lineage: Eukaryota; Metazoa; Chordata; Mammalia; Primates; Hominidae
Source: RNAcentral
AAGGACUGUGCUCCCAAUCCGCUUACGCUCAAGGAAGAACUGAUGAGGAAAUGGAGGCACAGACUGAUUAGAAAACCAGCUCAAGGUCAUGUUGCUGGGCUCUCUGGUGGAGCCUCUGUCUCACAGGUCACCUGCAGGCCAACACUCCCAGAAGCAGCUAGCACCAUGGUUGACCUCGUCCAGGUCCAGGGAAGGCCUCCCUCUCCAGGACUCCUUUAGAUUUCCCCAGCAUCCAGACCUCACCUGCCUAAGUGCUGUUGCCCUGGAAGCCACACAGUGAGCACGAGCUCCAUCUUGCCCCUUUACCAGCCAAUGGGGGUAAAGACAUUAGCUGGGUUAGUCAGGCUGAAAUGCUCAAGACACUCUGUCUCAAGGGAUUUGUGGCUGUUUCAUCCUCAAGUAUAGGGGGAAUAGUGGCCAGGAAGAUCUCAGAGGUGGCUUCUGGAAGAGGAAUCUGGGUACUGGCUACCCUGCCUUGUGUCCCAUCAUUGGUCUGUCUUGCCUGUCUUGGAGCACAUUUCUCACCAAGCCAGGCAUGGUGGCGGGAGCCUGUAAUCUCAGCU